This 325-nucleotide ribosomal RNA is filed under the name uncultured bacterium. RNAcentral's name for it is "bacterial SSU rRNA". It matches the Rfam family "Bacterial small subunit ribosomal RNA", at positions 9 to 311 of the family's 1533-position model. The record is from RNAcentral.
GAGUUUGAUUGAUCGUGGCUCAGGACGAACGCUGGCGGCGUGCUUAACACAUGCAAGUCGAACGGAGCACCCUUGACUGAGGUUUCGGCCAAAUGAUAGGAAUGCUUAGUGGCGGACUGGUGAGUAACGCGUGAGGAACCUGCCUUCCAGAGGGGGACGAACAGUUGGAACGACUGCUAAUACCGCAUGAUAUAUUUGAGGGGCGAUCCCUUGGAUAUCAAAGAUUUAUCGCUGGAAGAUGGCCUCGCGUCUGAUUAGCUAGAUGGUGGGGUAACGGCCCACCAUGGCGACGAUCAGUAGCCGGACUGAGAGGUUGACCGGCCAC